This is a non-coding RNA of Zea mays, 109 nucleotides long. NCBI's taxonomy places the organism in Eukaryota, Viridiplantae, Streptophyta, Magnoliopsida, Poales, Poaceae. The record is from Rfam.
ACUCUAGUACUGACUCCAAUCCACAUGUGUUGAGGUGGAUUGAAGUGUAAAUUAGUUUAAGUUAUACCUCAAUCCACCUCAAUUCAUGUGGAUUGAGGUAAAUACUAGA